This 302-nucleotide ribosomal RNA is filed under the name uncultured Pseudomonas sp. RNAcentral describes it as "bacterial SSU rRNA". It matches the Rfam family "Bacterial small subunit ribosomal RNA", at positions 1085 to 1382 of the family's 1533-position model. The record is from RNAcentral. Lineage: Bacteria; Pseudomonadati; Pseudomonadota; Gammaproteobacteria; Pseudomonadales; Pseudomonadaceae.
UCCGUAACCGAGCGCAACCCUUGUCCUUAGUUACCAGCACGUUAUGGUGGGCACUCUAAGGAGACUACCGGUGGACAAACCGGACGGAAGGUGGGGAGUGACGUCAAGUCAUCAUGGCCCUUACGGCCUGGGCUACACACGUGCUACAAUGGUCGGUACAAAGGGUUGCCAAGCCGCGAGGUGGAGCUUAAUCCCAUAAAACCGAUCGUAGUCCGGAUCGCAGUCUGCAACUCGACUGCGUGAAGUCGGAAUCGCUAGUAAUCGUGAAUCAGAAUGUCACGGUGAAUACGUUCCCGGGCCUU